GGGAGGAGGAGGAGGAGGAGGAGGAGGGGAAGAGGGGAAGAGGAGGAGGAGGAGGAGGAGGAGGAGGAGGAGAAGGAGGAGCGGUCGCUGCUGGAGCCGAGGAGCCGGAGCCCGGCCCGACCCCGACCCCGACCCCGGUCCGCGGCAGUCCCGGGCCACAUAUCCAUGAGCUCCGAUUUCCAGCAUUACACUUUCAGAAUGCCUAACAUCGGGUUCCAGAAUCUGCCUCUCAACAUAUACAUUGUGGUUUUUGGCACUGCGAUUUUUGUCUUCAUACUUAGUUUACUCUUCUGUUGCUACUUAAUCAGGCUAAGACAUCAAGCCCACAAAGAAUUUUACGCCUACAAACAGGUUAUAUUAAAAGAAAAAGUAAAAGAGCUGAAUUUGCAUGAGAUCUGUGCUGUCUGUUUGGAAGAUUUCAAGCCCAAAGAUGAAUUGGGUAUCUGCCCGUGUAAGCACGCCUUCCACAGGAAGUGCCUCAUCAAGUGGCUGGAGGUCCGGAAAGUGUGCCCACUGUGCAACAUGCCGGUGCUGCAGCUGGCGCAGCUACACAGUAAGCAGGACCGCGGCCCCCCCCCGGGCCCCCUCCCUGGGGCCGAGAACAUAGUCUAGCCCGCCCCCAGGACGGACUCGGACACACGAUAUCGCAGAGAACCCCAGGCGGAGGGCCGCUCGCCCCUGAACCGGCCGCCCCCGCGCAGAUGCACCAGUGAUCCCCGGCCCUCCCAAAGAGCUGCUCCUUUGGGUCCCGAAGCCACCGGAAGCCUCGGCCGCCCGCCCACGUCCUGGCACGGAGGGCCCGCGGGUGGGGGGUCCCGUGUGCGGCCCCAGCCCCUGUGCCCACCCAGAGUUUGCCUUGGAUAAGCAAGUGGGUGAUGGUAAGUGUGGCAGGAGGGACUGUGGGCUGAGCCUCGGGGGCUGGACCCCUGGACCACCAGGUCAACCCCCCCCCAGAGACCAAGCGUGAAGCUCCCUGAGCCGCCAGAUGAGCCGGCCCGCUCCAGACCCGCUGGCAUCCUGAUCCUGGAUCCCCAAAUCCCGUGGUUCUGAUGAAAAGCCCGGAGCCGCUGUGGGCCGGAUUGGGCAAGGCCCAGGGGAGCGGUGACUGCGCCACAGCCCUCGGCACUGGAUUGUCACCGGUGGUCAGACAGUGAGGAGCCGGAGAAAGAGCAUGGGUGGUCAGCACUGCCCAGCCAGGCGGCGGCGGGUUCUCCCCGGGACUUCCUGCUGGCCCGAACUGAGUAACAGGACUUGGGGUGGGGCAGCCCCGAGACCCAAGGGCAGGAGGGAGCAUCCGGACCGGGUCGUCACCCUCCCCAAUGACUCAGUAAGCCCACAGUCACCAAGCCUCCGGGAGCUGGGCCGCCAGCGGAUAGACUAGUGGCCGUGCAGCCAGAUUGGACACCAGCGCCCCUGAAAGUCAGCCCCCCAAAAGAAGCACCUGCCUACCCGAUCCCAGGCUCAGCCCACAACUGUUCCUCCCGUCUGUCCUCCCCAAACCCCUUUGUCUGACCCCAGUUCUACCCAUCUCUUGUCCUUAUUAGAACAAACGGUUCUUGAGUUUCCAGUUAGCUCUGAGGCACUGCUCUGAAAACAUCCCACGGUCUGUAUUUUUAAAAAUAUUUGAACUUGUAAAUAUUGUAUUCAGCAGCCCAGGAUUAAGGAGCCCACGAUUGUGUGUUUAGUUUUGUACUUGGCUCUGGAAACAUUAGCAAAAAGCCUAUUUAUAGAAGCCAUAGAUGGCUUUGUCUCUUGCACUCACAGACUUUUGUAGAAAUGACCCAAAAGUAGCUGAUCUUUGGGGGGUACCAGAAUAUGUUGUAAAUUAGCUCUUAGAAAGAAGCGAUGGCCCUAGCGGCUCUUCCCCACGGCCCAGCCCGGCCCCUCACAUAACUUCGGCAAGGCCUCCGUGUCCGGGAAGGCUGCUCUGCCUGUAUCAUGUCCCACACCUGCUGGAACAUGGCGGGCCAAGACUGAACUAAAGCAAAAGAUUUCAUCCUCAAGUGCUUCCCGCUGGUGCCCCCCCCUCCCCACCAUCCACUAGAAAUCAGAAAGGGAUUCCACCGGUUAGGGGGCUAGAAAAGGAAAAUGGAAACUGCAGUUGUGGGGAGCCGGCGGACUCCUCCCCCGGUCUGAUCUGGGGGGUUCUGUAGGUCCUGUCCGGGUUCUCGAACAAGGGAGUGGAAGGGAAGGCUAUUUUUAUAGUAGAGCUAAAUUUAACCUGCUGGGCUCCAUGCUUCUUUUCUGAGCCAUUAAUGGAAAGGAUACCAGUUAUAAGUACUCCCGCCUCCCUUCUGACUUAUCUAUUCCUUUUCUGCAUCUCUGGCAGUCGUUAAGUGCCGGGAAACCAAUAGAUUUGCCUGAACUUUGGUAAAACAGGUUUACAGUAAAAUAUUUUUAGUGACCAAUGUCAAAAGAGAAUAUUGGGCUUGUCUCUGGAUCUGUACAGUUCAGUUACAUUGUUUACAGCCUAGGAUUUUCCAGGAACAUGGGACAGCUUUGGAAUAAGUGCCAUUUCUUCCAUAUGGGGCCACGAUCAAAACAGAAGUCAGAAAUCUGGGGACCGUGAAGCUUUUAGCUUGUGCUCCCGUCCCCUCCAACCCCAAUCUGUAGGACUACCCCCUUGGGGCCGUUGCUCUGCUUCUUUGAGUAGGGACCUCAGCAAGGGACUUUUUUUAAGGGCAAAACAUUUUAGUCCAAUAUCUCAAAUAUUCUUUCCAGCUGAAAGUCUGUUCAGACAUUGACUCUAUAAUUCCAACUUAGCUCCGUCGACCGAGGGCCAAAAUAACAAAAUCAAAAUGUCUUCUCAUUCACAGAUCGGAAAGGAGUCCAGUUGGGUACAAAUGUCCCAACAGACUCCACCUGGUGUCUGUACUGUUUGUUUACACUAAUUGUCUAAGCAGAAAGUCGGCACUGUCCCCACGAAUCCAUCCUGACAUUAGUCAAUAAGCAAAGUGGAUGAUGUUAAGCAAGCGAUUGAUCGGAAGAAAUCUUGCCUCUGCUUAGUCAUCCGCUCCUGUAAUGGAGUUUGAGGACCCAGUGCCAAAAGCCAGUCACUUCUCCCAGCCCCUUAAGCCUGGUGACUUGUGACCCUGACCUAGUGGAGAACGGAGGUAUCCAGCCCGUAGUCUGCGAUGGGAGAGACCCUCUGGGCCAAGCCAACGGUCCUUGCUCAAAGACCUCCCAGGGGCAUUCCCUGCUCGUUCCGGACCGGUCCUGAUAGAAAUACUAAGUGAUCGUGCGCUCCGGCCAGAACAAUACAGAACGUAGUUGUAGGUGUAGUUGCACGUUUGGCACCAGUAUUAAAUCCAAGAAGGAGAAAGAAGGAAUGAGAAAAGAAUCCCUUUGAUCCCUGAAUCAAGCUGAAAGCCCUGGAAGUCACUGGCCGCUCCCCAUCUCUUGGUGAAGAUCCAGGGGGAAGUUUAGGCCUUUGGGGACUUUUGCCUAUUUACCCAUCAAUGAUUUUUGUGUUUCUAACUGAAAUAUGAAGAAAGGAAGCUGAAAAAUUGGACUUCAUUGACCCGUCGCCAGCCACUCACUCGCCUUCUCCAGCUGCUGACCCGGAAUCUCUUGUACUCACUGGGACUCAGGGACAGGGCACAGGAACCCGCGGCCUUUGAUGCUGGGCCUGGGAGGCAGCCCGGGGCUUCCCGGCUUUCUUAGCUGCAGAACCUGUAGCAUUUUCCACUUCCUCAGAUGAGACCCGCCAGGAGGGAUUUAGGGACAGAAUAAACGAAAUGAAAGUGUAGGCAGCACCACCUCCUCUUGCCGGGUCAUGCUGGGCUCCCUGCCCUCCGAGGGCUUACGUUCUAAUCAUGGAGCCCACACCUGGAGCGUUCGGUCUGGAACAAGAGCCCACGUGUGUUUCCCUCGUGAGCCCCCCAGGCCGAGGACUAGCUGGCCUCCCCUGUCAGGUUAUUACCACCACGAUCAGACCGCUCCAUGACCUGCAGGGGUGGCCGGGGGUGGUCACUGUGCCAGCGGGCUCCCAGGGCUGCCCGUGAGGAGCGCCUGCCGCUGUCGGCCCUCAGCCUCCCCCCUCACCGCCCCAGCCCGGCCAUGGCUCUGAGCUCUCCGGGCUGGCUGACUGUGAGCCCUCUCUGGGAGGGGAGAUGGCUCCCCUUCCCAGCCACGGUCAGUCCAUCUGGAACCGCAGAAUCGCUCUUGAACCACAUUCCUUUCCAGCAAGACAGAUCCUCGGUUACGACAUAAUGGAAUUCCUUGUUUCUAGACAAACGGAACCUUCCACUCCCUCCCUCACCCUCGCCAUAAAAGCUGAGAUUUGACCUUUUAAGUGCCCAACCAACCAGAGAUGGGACGUGGACUCAUCAGGGCCCUCAUGUGGCCCGGGCCCAAGUCAGCCAAACCAUCCCCUUCCCCGACCGCCCUUGCUUUAGCCGGACCUUUUCCAUCCUUUCUCCUCAUCACCUCCUUAGAGAAGCUGGAGCCCGGGGGGCUUGGGGAGGAAGGGCCCCGUGGCUUGUGUCGGGCUGCCAGAGACGGGCGCUCCUUCCCUGAGGAGGGGCCGGCGCGGGGAGAGCCAAUUCCUCCUCCAGCCGGCGAGUGGGGAAGGCCCAGGCUCCUAGUGGCGGCUAAACCGGCUGUAAUUGUGGAGAUAGGAUUGGAAAGCGGAUCCCUUGACAGCACAUCUGGUGCACGGCCACUGGGCCGGCCGCCUCUGGCCACCCAGAGCCACAUGCAAAGUUCCCCUCCCCCAGCCCCCACCUCCUCGUCUUUUCUGAGUCCUGGCCCGGCCCUGGGCCAAAAGCACUUGAAUCCUGAGCCUUGAAGCUGAAACUUGAAAGGAAAGGCUCGGCAGAAGCACUUUUCAGAUCCUUUCAGACUUUAUUCCCUCCAUCCCUCCCUCUCUCAGACCCACAUCCUGAGUCACUAACCCUUUCCUUACCCAAACUGCAAACAAUCGUUGGGGAAAGGAGGGGUGUUGUGCAGGCUUUAUGCAAUGAACUUUGUCCCCGGUGGCUUUGGGGGAGAAUCAGUCGCUGCUUUUUUUUCAUAAACGACUCGGACGCUUACUCCCGGUUCAGAGUCUGUAAAAAUAUCUUGAAAACUACGUAUUUGGGAGUUGAGAUUUAGGAUCGAGGUUUGUUACAAGUCGUUCUCAUCAGCGUUAUUUGUCUCCCGUCUUCAUGGGUGAGUGGCCAAGAACCCUAACAUCGGAACCCCCAGAAGGAACCAAUUUCUCCUAGAACCGAACCCCUCAGACGUCCCUGGGACUUCUGACCGCCCCAGUCCUGGGGCUGCCCGGGGCCUGACGCCAGCCCUUCUAGCCUUUGGGCCUUUGGGCCCCCAAUCGGUGCCAUCCGGUUAGCUGGGCGCGGGGCUCGGCCUCCUGGUCAGUCCCGCCAGAGGCCCGGGCACUGCUGCCGGCGGCUCUCCCACCAUGCCCGCUGUUUCUCAUUUGCUGACCCUCGGGAUGGCUGGAACGCCCUUCUCCUUUAACAAUGAUUGAUCGCCAGGCAAGACAUCCAGUAUUAACGGGUGGAGAGACUGAAAGUCUCCCGUGAAAGAAUAAGGCAGCCCCGACCCCGGGAAGGGGAGCCCGGCCAGCCGCCGCUCCGGUGCCUCGGCGCGAGCUGGUCUCCCCACGGCGCGAGCUGGUCUCCACGCGGCGCUCGCCGCCCCUGGGUGAUCCAAGUCGAUAUCGUGUAACUCCUGCGAAAGUUUGUGAAACUCUGAGCCUCUGGUUUCAUAGACAUAUUUAUACACUAAGGAUUCUGCAGCAGAAUAUUUUUGAAAUCAUUCGCUGUUUUUGUAAGCUAUAUUUUUGUAUAUUUAAUUGCUAUUUUAAAAUUCUAAUGCAUCUUUUGCUAAUCACAUCCUUGUUUUGAAAAAAUAACGUUUGCAUGUGAUUGACUUGAAAUGUAAAUAAAAGCAGGUUUUGAAAAUACAUGUUGUCGGGACGCGCCCUCUCUGCGGCCGAGCUGUCGGGGGCCUCCUCCGCAAGGUCCUGGGGAGCAGAAGCCUUCCAGCGGCGGCAGCGCCCGGCCCUCAGUGCGGGGCUUCUCCGGAAGGAGGAGCUCGCCGGGGAAUGAACCCAACAGCAACGAAGCCCGAGCCCCUGGCAGUGAGCAGCCCCCUCCCCCUCAGACGCCCCCACCUUCGGGGCCUCGGGCCUCAGGGCAGGGCUUGGCCCAAGUAACUAACGGCUAACGGGCGGGGGCCAAGGCCGGGGGCCUCGCACCCGGGACCCGCAGCGGCACAGGCGGGACCAGGAGAAGGCCUGCCCCCCGCCUUCCCCCGCCCCCCGGCAGCCGUCGGUACGCGGGCCUCUCCUCUCCGGUCUCUGAGCAUCUAUUAAGCGCCUUCUGUGCGCCGGGUGACCUGAGCACUGCGACGAGGGCAGGCCCAGCAGCUCUUCCCCAGGACUUCCGGGUCUCUCUCCGGGCCGGCGCACGCUCUCUCCGAGGCCCCGCAGUAGCAGCUGCGUUUCCAGGAGCCCCAAGUUCAAAUCCCGCCUCGGACCCCGAGCCCCGGGGGACCAUGGACAGGCCGCGAAAUCCGUGAGAGGCGUUGGGCGGCGGGACCUGGGGACUUGCUGUGAGCCUCGGAGGGUCCCAACCAGCCCCUCAGAACCCGGCCUCCUCCUGCAGAGUAUCUGCGCAUAGUAGGCGCUUUAUCAAUACUUGAACUUGACAGGGAAAGGAAGCAUUCUGUGCAAUGAUUCAGGAUCAAGCAAAGAUUUUCCUUAAGAAAAAGACGCAUUAAGGGAAAAAACCAGACAUGAACAUAAUUGUAAAGUUUUUUAUACAAAUAAAGUCAGAUUUAAAUAACUGGAGAAAUAUUCAUUGUUCACAGGUGGGCUAAACCAAUAUCAUAAAAUUUUAUCUAAAUUAAUCUAAUUAUUCCGUGCCAUUUGAAGUAAAUCACUCAAAAAAUUAAUUGAAUUAGAAAAAAUAUAAUCCAUUUGGAAGAACAAUAGCUCCAGAAUAUCAAAGGAACUCAUGGAAAUAAGUAAAGGAAGGAGAUCUGGCAUGAGAGUCCAGCUCUUAAAUGCAUCAUAAGGCUAUAAUUAUUUCAACUUGCAGGUACUGACUAAAGAACAGAAAGGUGGAUCAGUGUAGAUAUACAACACACAGUCGGAAAAGACUGUAACAAGCUCCUGGUUAACAAAUGCAAAGGUUUACGCUUUCGGGACAAGAAUUCGCCAUCUGGUUAAAAAAAAAAAUUGGAAGGAAAACUAGAAAGCAGUUUGACAGAAACUGGGUAUAGACCAGCAUCUUAUACCAUUUACCAAGAUAUGAUCAAAAUGGACACAUGACCUAGACGUGAAAGGAGAUCUCAUAAGUAAACGUACCCUCUAUCAGAUUUAUGAAUAAGAUGAGAAUUUAUGAAUAAACAAAUUAAAGAGCAUUGUGGAACAUAAAGUGAAUAAUUUUGAUCCCAUUAAGUUCAGGUUUUUUUGUUUUUUUACAAAUACAUGUUUCCGAGAUUAGAAAGAAGUAGAGAAAUGGAGGGAGGGAUUUGAUAAGAGUUUUCGGAUAAAAGCCUCCCUCAUAUCAAAUAUGUGGGGAACCUUGUCACCUUUUUAAGAAUACAAAUCAUUCCCCAGUUGAUAACUUGACAAAGGAAAUGAACAGGCAGUUUUGGGAGGAAGAAAUCAAAGCUGUACAUAGUCAUGUGAGAAAUGCUCCAAGUCAUUAUUGAUUAGAGAAAUACAAAUUAAAAUAUCUAUCAUCACCCAUCAGAUUGGCUAAAAUGAUAUGAGGAGAAAAUGACGAGUGUCAGGGGGAUGUGGGAAAAACGGGGACACUAAUUCACCGGAGGUGGAAACGCAACGGGAUCCAGCCGUUGUGGAGAGCGAUCUGGAACUUCCCCCAAAGAGUCAUCAAACUGGAUAUACCCGUUAAGCCAACAAGAUCACUCACUAUUCGUUGUUUCCCAAAGUGAUCGGGGAGAAGGAAAAGAACCCAAUGCUUCCAAAAUAGUUAGAGAAGCUCUUUGUGGUGGCAAAGGACUACAGAGGAAAGGGCUGCCCCGACAUUGGGGAUGGACUGAAAAAGUUGUGCUACCGGAUCGUGAUGGUGAUGGCCUAAGGAGUUCUGGGCAGGCUGAUCCCAGAAAAACCUGGAAAGACUUGCAUGAAAUAAGGAGAACGGUGAAAUAAAUAAAUGAGAAACAAAUGUUAAUAAUGAAAUUAAGAAAACAUCUAAAUAAUACUGAACAUUGAAUUGAGUUGAAUCUUGAAUAAUAUUGAAAAAAUAUUGAAGAUGCUAAUGGCUCCAGAGAAAGAGAAGUCCAAUAUGUAUUUGUGUGUGUGUGUGUGUGUGUGUGUGUAUAUAUAUAUAUAUGUCAUAUAUAAUGUCAGACGUUGCCUUUCUCUAACUCAGGGCUGGGAAAGAGGAAGGGAAACAUCUUGGAACCCAAAUGUAACAAUAAAUAAAUCAUUUUUUAAAGAAAAAGAAGAAAACUUGGGGAUGAUCUCUUCAAACGGAAAGGAGGGAAUGGGUAAUGUGAGAACGCCCCCUCCUCAGGUUGGAGGACGUAAUCAGUAAUGAUUUCUGGGACCCCAAUGACAUAACCACUGUAUUCUGGGAAGAGAAGGCGAGAAGGGGAACAUGUCCGCUUGUAGCUGGAGAUGGGCAGGGAGCUUGACCUCCAAACGCGAGUGCUGGCCCUGCAGCUGACCGGGGCUCCUUGAGGGAGGGAGCCAUGUCUCCACCUCCUGCCCUUGAGCUGGGAUCUCCAGAAGGGACGCGGGUGCCAGGAGUCCAGGAUCCCCUCGUCGGCACCCCAACAAGCAGCCGCCCCACUUUUGCUGGAUCGCUCUUGGGGAUUGGCCUUGUGGACCACUCUGUCCAUGAGGUUUUCUUCCCAGAAAUGCUCGCGUGGCCGCUUCCCAGUCCAGUGAAUUAUGGGAAGAUGAGUUUGUCGACAUUUUGGCUGCACUGAGCUCAGGCCCAUGGGGCUCUUCCUGAAGACCCGGCCCCCCAGCUGGACGCCUCUGCAUCGAGCCUACAUCUGCCCCCCACCCUGCUCCGGCCCCCCUGCAGCACGUCGGGGUCCUUCCCAAGGCGGGGCCCUCAGCACGAAGCCUCCGCCCCAGACGGGGCCUGACCAGGACGGAGGGACCCCUGAUCCCAGACCCCCAGCCUCCAGCUGCAGGAGAACAUCCGAGUCCGGGCCUCUAAGUCCCCAGCCCCGGUGGGGCCGUGGGUCCUGCUCCCUUGGUCUCCUCCCAGGGGCCGGCAUGGAGGAUGCUCCAUCUGGAACAGAACCUGGAAGGGAAACCUCUGUUCCUCCGGCCUUCAAGGGGAGGCUCCGGAGCCACUGGGGAAUGCUGGGAGGGACCUCUGGCUCCUGGAAUGCCUGGGAUCCUUGGGAAGAAGAACUCUCCCUCAUUUCCUUUUCUUCCCCUAAACAGGCCAAAUUAUUCCAAGAUUUCACUUUCUGUUCUUCUCCCAGAGGAUCAAGAUUCCCGGCACAGAAAGAGUUCAAGGAAACCGAAACUGCGCCUCCCUGCACACAUCUGCCCCUGGGAUGAGGGGCCAAAGGGGCGGGGGGCCGCCGAGCAGGGAGGGGGAUGGGAGGGGAGGGGAUGGGAGGGAAGGGGCCCUCCGGGCAGGGGAGGGGGAGGGGAGGGGAAGGGGAUGGGAGGGAAGGGGCCAGCUGAGCCGGGGCCACCGUCCCUCUGCCCCCAGGCCGCUGUCUUCUGGGGAGAAGCGACCCCUACUACACCUUCAGAGAUGGCCCCCAAAGAGACGGGGACCCCCAGGGCAUCUGCAGGGGCCCUCACCUCCUACGAGAUCGGCUACCCCCGCCCACACCUGUAGAGGAGGUUUCUCAUUCCCUCUGCCCCCAGCAGUCGGGGCCGCCACGGGUGCCUGUCCCGCCCCCACCCCCACAAGGAGCCGGAGCCGGAAAGGGCACUGGGGGGGCCCAGGCCCCAGGAGGCCUCGGGGCAGCGGUCGGUCCUGGGGGGCCUCUCGCGCCUCGGGGGAGCCUGAAGCUCUCUGGGCUCCCUUCCAGAGCUGACCACGUGUCUCGGACCAGGGCAGGCGCGCGUCAGGCCGAGGGAGGGCCCUGGGCCCUGGCUGGCAGCGCGCUGGCACGGCGGAGGGCCGGCCGAGCGGGGGCGGGGCGGAGGUCCCAGGGAAGGGCGCGGCCCCGGGCGCCGCCCACCGCGGGAGCUUCUGCCAGGCGCCGGGGGCCUGAGGCUGGAGGAGCCGCUCCCAGGACCGAACGGGAGCCCCGCUUCCGCAGCUGUAGCGUGAGGCCCGCAGCCGUCGUGACCUUCUCCAGGCCCCACAAGAGCCCCCUCCCCGCCCCGCUCCCUCCCCGAGCAGCCGGAACAGGCGUUCCCGCCCGGCCGGGCGGCCUGGGAUUUCCCACCGGCUCCGAGCUCCGUGGGCCGGCCUGCCCCGAGCCACCGGCCCUGGCUGGGGGAGGGGGGGAGGGGGCCGGAGACCCGGCGCCCCCCCCCCAGUCUGUCUCGGGAGGGCGCAGGCCCUGCCCCCGCCCCCUUCUCCCCCCGUCAGCCCGCCCGGGAGCCCCGGGGUCCGUGGCCCAGGCCGGAGGCGGGACGUCGGGAUCCCGCCUGCGGGGCCGCGCUGCCCCCUGGCGGCGGCCGCUGCCCCAGCCGGCGGAGCCGAGCCCCGCGACGUCCCGACCCGGACCGGGCCGGUGGGGUUCGGGCGAGGUGCUGGCGAAGUCGGCCCCGUUGGCGGGCCCAGUGGCGGGCGGGGGCGCGGGGGCGGUGAGGGAUUUACGCGGCGCGGGCUGGGCUUCAGCCCCCACAGUCACCCUGCGGAGAAGCGACGAGCCCACUUCCAUAGAAGGGCGAACUGAGGCUCGGGUGAAGUGACUUUCCCAGGAUCACAAGCGGCCGGCAAGAGUCUGAUGCCGGGCUCGGCCAAGAAAGCCCCGCCCGCCCCCUCGGCCCCGCCCGCCCCCGGGCUCGGCCCCGCCUAAAAAAGGGUUUUUAACAAAGCACUUAGCGCGCGCCUGCUGUGUGCACGAGGCCGGACGUUAGGCGGCCUCUGCGCGGGAGCUCGCGCUCUAACCCGCCACUAGUGGGUGAGGGAGGAGCCGGGGGGCGGGGAGGUGCCCCGGCAGCUGCGGGCGUCCGGAAGGAGACGCCCCGUGGCCCCGCUCCCGACCCAGCCCGGGUCCGUCACAAGCCCCCGGGAGCCGCGGGCGGAGUUAGAGGCAGGGGCGUUUCUCGGCAGGACCUCACUCACACCGCUAAGGAGAAGUGCCCGCUGCCCGCGCAGCUGCGGCAAAACGGAGGGACCGGCGCGAAACGCCUUCGGAGCCUUCCGUCCUAGGUGGGGCCCUUGUUAGCCAGGAGACCUCGCCUCGCAGAAGGGACCCAAGCUCUAAGGCGGCCCGUUUCCAGGCAACGGAGCGGCUUCCCUUGGGAGGGACCCUUUCCGGACCUCGACCACGGGAGCCGAGGCAGCCAAGCCUGGGGAGAACUCCCAGGGGGGCGCCGGGCGCUCUCGGGCCCCCGGGGGUGCAGCGCGGCCCCAAGGCAAGCGGGGGGGGGGGGGCUGACGGGAAAGGGGGUUGUGUCCUCGGGGGGCUCCGACCAAGGGCACUGCAGCCCCGCAGAAAGCACCCCCCAAAAAGGCACUGCAGCCCCGCAGAAGGCACUGGAGCACCGCAGAAAGCACCCCCAAUGAAAGCACUGCAGCCCCGCAGAAAGCACCCCCCAAUGAAAGCACUGCAGCCCCGCAGAAAGCACUCCCCAAAAAGGCACUGCAGCCCCGCAGAAAGCACUGGAGCCCCAAUGAAAGCACCCCCCAAUGAAAGCACUGCAGCCCCGCAGAAAGCACUCCCCAAAAAGGCACUGCAGCCCCGCAGAAGGCACUGGAGCCCCGCAGAAAGCACCCCCAAUGAAAGCACUGCAGCCCCGCAGAAAGCACCCCCCAAAGAAGGCACUGCAGCCCCGCAGAAGGCACUGGAGCCCCAAUGAAAGCACCCCCCAAAGAAGGCACUUCAGCCCCGCAGAAAGCACACCCCAAGGAAGGCACUGCAGCCCCAAUGAAAGCACCUCCCAAAGAAGACACUGCAGCUCCGCAAGAGGCACUCCCCGGGCGGCUUUGGGGAACGUGCGGGCAAAAGCAGCUCCAGGCUGCGGCCGCGCCGAGGGCUCCGGGACCACUAGAAAGCAGCCCCUCCCGUCUCAUCCUGGAAGCCCCGACAGGACUUGCUGCCACAAGCCCCAACUCACUGGCCGUCAGCGUCCACACUACACGGGGAGGACGGGUAUCAAAAACUGCCAUCAAGAAGGGACUCCUGCUACUAGUAAAAAUUGGCAAGCACCUUCUCUACAAUUUAGCGCUAGAAUCUAAUUUUGGUCUCAUGACUUCAAUAAUUGUUUCUAGUUUGUUCUUUGAUCCGCUCAUUAUUUAGGAUUUUAUUAAGUCCCCAUUUGAGUCUUUGUCCUCCCUGACCUGAUUAUAUUAUUAGCUAUGGUUUAUAAAGAAUACUAUUUCUACCCUUUUUUACAUUUGUUUGCAAUGCCCUGGCAUGUGGUCAAUUUUUGUAGAAGUUCCAUGUGGUGCUGAAGUCCUAUUUAAACAGUCCCUAUUUAGUCUUUUAGCUCAAUUUUCCGAUUAAAUUCUGUAGUUUUUCUUUCUUCUGUUAAGAUUUAUGCCAAACUGAGGAAUACUGAAAUCUGCUAGUAUGUAUAUGUCCUGUAAUUCUGCUGACUUAUAAAUGUAGAUGCAAAGGCACUUGAAGCAUAGAUUUAUUAUUGCUCUUGGUUUGUUGUCAGUGAUUCCUUUCAGCACAUUUUCCUUGUUCAUCCCUUUUCAGUUUGGCUUUUUGUCUUUGCUUCAUCUGACAUGAUUCCAAUUCCUGCUUUUUGGAUUCACCAGAUACAUAAAAAAAAUUUUCCAACCUUCAUUUUUAUUAUGUCUCUUUGCUUUUCAGGUGUUUCCUAUGAAAUGUUAGAUUUGUUUUCUUAUCCAACCUUUUACUUUUUCAUUUUAUUGGAGUUUUUAAUCCAUUCACAUUUAGUUAUGACAGCUGUUUACUAUUUUCUCCAUUUGCUAAUUUUUUUUUGUUUCCUGAUCUUCCUCCAUAUAGCACUUUGUCUCGUUGUAAGCUUGAUCUACUUUAAAAGCAACCCUAUUCCCACCAGCUGUCUUCCCCUUAUCCUAAGCCCACCCACUCCCAUGAUACCCUUUUUUCAUUGUUGCCUUUUUUUUUUCCAUCUACCAAUUUCAUUCUUUCCCAUUAUUCCAAUAGUCAAGCAAAAUCCUCCCUCUUCUUUCACUUUUGUUUUAAAAUUUUAUUUUCUGCCCCUUACACCAUUUUGUUUCCUCAUUAAUUUCUCUUCCCCGUUUAUUCAAAACUAUACUAUCCUACUAGGGGAUGAGAAAGGCCUUUUGGAGGACAUGGGAUGAACUGCCCUUUGAAGGAAGCUAAGGAUGCUCCAAGUGGAGACAAGGGAGUCUGAUUAGCUUUCAAGUAAAUAAUCUGUUUGCAUUUCUUAACAUACCCCCAGAAGAACACAAACUCCUCGCUAGGGGGGAAUUUCUCCGUUUCUUUUUCCCUACUACCCAUCCACAAAAAAAAGCACUCCAGACAUAAGCCAUGGCCAGUGCCAAGGCAUGGCGGUGCGUUUUUUGAGGAACAAAGGAGCUGAGUUCCAGAAGGGGAACAACAUAAAAUGAAAUUAAGGUAUGUUGAGGCAAGCUAAAGGUUUUAAAAGCUGAAGUGUCUAUUUUAUCCUGGGGGAGGGGGACUCUAGAUUGUGAGUGAGGGAGUAAUGUGGCCAGAUCUGGACUCAAAAUCAUGUGAAUGCAAACUGCAUUGGCCAGAGUGCCAGGCCUGGAUCAGGAGAGCCCAAAUCUGCCCUCAGCCGCCUCCAGGCUGACCCUGGGCCAGUCCCAUAAUCCUGUUGGCCACAAAGAAGUGGAGAAGAAAAAUCGGCCAACCGCUGAAGCACAAGGAAAACCGCACCUAGGGCAGGGCUGCCAUGUCUGAGGUGGCCCUGGAAGGGAGAGUGUGCUAGAGAGAGAUCUGGUGGUCAGGAAGACAGUGGGAAAGAGAGAUCAAAGGGGCAGUAGGACUGACUGCUCAGUGUGGAUAAACCAUUCCGGCCUGGGAAGAACCAAACAAAAGGGACUCCUCUUACUCAAAGAAAAUGAGAAUCUAUUUACCUUUGAUAAGCACAAGUCAGCAUGCCCAAAGUGCAUCUCCAGUAUGAAGGAACUAGCAGAUAUAAUUAUUAAUCUCAAUAUUUGAAAUCCCAAGAGAAAAUGGAGUCACAGGACUGGAGAAAGACAAAAAUCCUAAUUUCCAAAAAAGAAAAGUCUACAAAACUUCCACAUAGAUGAGCUUGACUUGGAGUCCUGGCAAAUAUAUGAUUAGUCAUCAAUGAACAAAUUAUUUGCGUCAAGAGCUAAGAGAAUACUUGGAUGAUAUCUGCUAAAAAUCAGCAAGUAUUAAGCACCUACAAUGUGCUUAAUGUCUGGGAAUACAAACACAAAAUAUCAAUCCUUACUUGGCAAGAAAAUUACAUUUUAAUAAAACAUGUUAUCUGUUGGUGAGCAAAUGCAAACAUAAUAAAGAUAAAUAUAAAAUAUCUGAGCAUGUAAAGGGAGAAAUGGACUCAGUAAGAGGGAGGUAAAGAGAAUGAAUUCUAGGCAUGGGGGAUGGCCAAUACAAAAAUGAGAGGUGAACUGACCCAAAGAAUCGAGGGAAAGCUAGUUGGACUGGACAAUAGUGCUGGAAAAAUGUAAAUGUGCAUUAAAACCCGAAAAGGAAGUUGAAGCAAAGGCUUUCAAAGCUGAAUAAAGUUUAUAUUUUAUCCUCAAAGUAACAGGAAGCCACUGGAGUUGGGUUAGUAUGGGACUGCACGGUCAUAUUUGCACUUAAAAGACAAUUCCUUUGGCAGUAGUAUAUAGGAAAGACUCCAGGCAGGAAGACCUAUUUGGAGGCUGUUGGAAUAAUUUAGACAGGAGGGCUUGAACUAAAGGAGUAGGUAGCUCUGUGGGGAGCUGUGGAGAGAGACUGGAUACAACUGAGAGGAAGAUAAAACAGCGGGAUUUGGCAGCUGGCUACAUGGGGUGGAGAUUGAGGAAUCAAGGAUAAUGGCAAGACUAUGAACCUGAGACACUAGAAGGGGAAGACUGCCUUUGUUAAAACAGGAAAAUCCAGAAAAGGGAAGGAUUAAGGGAGUGCGGUUUCAGUUACAGACAUGUCAAUAUUGAAAAUGUCUCUGGACAUCCAGUUUGAAAUAUCAAAGCUCUGGGGAGAAACUGAAGAUUUCACUCACUGAGAUAUAGAAAAGAGGACCCAGGAAAGAGCUUUGGGGGACAUUAUCAGGGCUCCCGACCUGAAGAAAAAGGCAGGAAAAGAACCUAAGACAGGAGAGGGUCACCAACAGUAAGCCAAGGAUUAAUUGGGACAGAAUGAAAAUUAAGAAUGCAUAACUUUGGAGAGAUCUCACCUGAGUGAUGAGGUUAAAAGCCAGAAUGCAAAGAGCUGAGAAGUGGAUAUGAGUGUGGAAAUCACUUUUUUCAAGGAAGAUAUUUGAGUAGCUCAAGAGCAUGACAGGAUCUAGUGGAGGCUUUAAGGAUGGGGAGAUUAGGGUGUGGUUGAGAGUGGAAGAGAAGGAACUAGUUGAAAGGGAGCAGCAUCCGGUGGGAUGGAAGGAAGAAGGGGAAAACUCAACGGACGAGGAUGGAAUUGAGAACACAACACAAAGACAGAUAUGCUCCAAGGAGUGAGAAGCUUUGGGAUGUAGAAAAGGGAACUCCUACCUAAUAGGUUCUGUGGGAAAAGAGGCCAUCGAUUAAGGAGAAAGACAAGGGCUAGUCAGCUCCAGUGAAGACCCAUUUGCGCUUAUGUAGUAUGAAAUCCAUGAAAUAAACACAGAAAAUAGGGUGAAGGCAACAGAAGAUGCAGGGUAGGAAACGGUGGUCAAGGAUAUGCUGGUUUCUGGAAGGACUGUGAAAGAAGUCCAGCAUAAAGGAGUUUGCUCAGCAUGUCCAAUCACCUAAAGGAAGUCUUUACUACUAGCCAGUAAGGUACAUCUGAGAGGCUUCCAAAUCCUGGUACAAGAUGUUGGGUAGCACAACAGGUCCUAUCCUGUUGAAUGGAACCAAAGAUGGACCUCGGGAACAUUCCCCAUUACCAAGUUAGCUCUGAACCUACAAGACAUUCAAUGAAUUUACAUCAAGAUUCCCAUUUUUAUUAAAUAAUAUUAAACUGGCAGGUGAGGGAAAUAUAACUAAGGUUUUUAAUGAAGUCUGAUACUCUUGUGGCAAACAUUAAAUGGGUUCAAACAAUAGUACUAGGUGGAUUUUGCACUUCAAGAUAAGAACUGAGGCUACUUAUUUCCCCCAUUUUUAGCCCAGCUGGACAUACAAAUAGGUCUUCAAAUACUGGCCAAAGUACUAUGUGUCAGGGCAAGCCUAUGAGUGUCUAUAGAAAUUAUAGCUUAAAAGACAAGUCUCCAGGCAGCUCUGGCUUACCUGGAGAACACAGCUGGGCUGGAGACGUUAGGCAGUCACAAACUGGGCAGGUUCUAGGAAUACGGAUAGGACAACUGCUCCCCAUCAUGGUCUAGAGUCAGACCUCCUCUGAAAAGUUAUAGUCUCUAGGCAACUUAUUUUAGAAAAGG
RNAcentral lists this long non-coding RNA (16600 nucleotides) under Sarcophilus harrisii (Tasmanian devil). Its description in RNAcentral is "lncRNA (ENSSHAG00000024133.1)". The record is from RNAcentral. Lineage: Eukaryota; Metazoa; Chordata; Mammalia; Dasyuromorphia; Dasyuridae.